Molecule: long non-coding RNA, 1193 nt
Organism: Mya arenaria
Lineage: Eukaryota; Metazoa; Mollusca; Bivalvia; Myida; Myidae
Exons: 3
Source: RefSeq, a predicted model, not a curated record
UCAAGCAUAAUGCCUGUACAAAUUGUGGACUUUAUUAUACCAGGAUGGGUGGCAGUUGGUGGGGGUGUAUGUUCAUUCUAUUUAAGGGUGUUAUGGUAAUUAUCUUUUUAAUAUAAUAUGACAUGAACAUCUACUAAAUAGAGAUUGAGUACUAACUAGACAUUAAGUAUAAGGGUUUGUUCAAGAAGAUCUUUAUUUUUUUAACUGAAAUUACACUACAGAAAUUAUCACCAACAUCUUAGCAGCAAAAGGAACAUACACUUUUAACUUAUAUGGAUAUAGUGGUGCUGAAUGGGACGACUGUGAUUCAACAUGGCGGCGACCAUGCAAAAAAGUUUAUUGGAGGCUCUGGAUGCGAUUCGAACACAUGAAAUUGAGACGACAACUCGUUUGGUGUCAUGGUCUUCGCUUAAAGGAUUUGGAAAUCUUGGGGAGAGUUCAGGAUCAGACGUUAGAGAGGGCAUACCUAAGGGGCGUACUCCGCUCCCCAAGAGAGGGCAUACCUAAGGGGCGUACUCCGCUCCCCAAGAGAGGACAUACCAAAGGUGCGUACCCCUCCCCCAAAGGGUCCGCUAGACGUAAGCAAUUUGUGAAGAAAUCAGAAAGACAUACAAGUGAACAUAACACAUCGGUGGCCUUCAAGUAGUGGUGAUAUUGACUUCAUGGCACAUAUUCAAGGAUUGCGUUCUGCUACAAGACUGGAGAAAAUAUUUUUUUUCUUAGUUUUAUGGCAUGUAUGCUUUUCUUGUUUUCAACAAAUAUCACACGGAUGAUGGAUACAUUUUCACCAGUAUUGGAAAUUGUUGGAAGACGAGGAAACUGUUGUUUAUUUACGGAUGAAGAAACAUCAAGAGGACAUAAUUAAAGGAAGUUGCGCUGUUUGAAUUUGUUGUUUUCAUGAGUUCAUGUCGCCUGCACAUGAUGGCAUUUGAAAGGUGUAGUUUAUUAGUUUCCACUCCUUUGAGAUAGAAUGCAAACUUUGACGACUUUAGUGAUGGGGCAUGUGCCGGGUGUGCCAUCCCCCCUCCCACGGAACCGUUUGUGUUAACUGUUGGUCAUUGCAAUUGCUCAUUGAUCUGUGAUAGACUGCAGACUGUGAGCAAAAAUUAUUGAUUGGCAAUUGAAGCCAAUUCUAUUUCUUUCUCACUUACACUUGUUUGAUCAAUGUACUUUUCUUUAUAUUAUCAAAGAAC